Molecule: ribosomal RNA, 936 nt
Filed under: uncultured bacterium
Lineage: Bacteria
Description: SSU rRNA
Rfam family: Bacterial small subunit ribosomal RNA
Source: RNAcentral
AGAGUUUGAUCAUGGCUCAGAACGAACGCUGGCGGCGUGGAUAAGACAUGCAAGUCUAGCGGGAUACAGGCUGUAGCAAUAUGGCUUGUGUUCAGCGGCGCAAGGGUGCGUAACACGUGGGCAAUUUGCCAUGAAGUUUGGGAUAAUCCCGCGAAAGCGGGACUAAUACCGGAUGUGGAAAUCAGGUGGCAUCAUUUGAUUUCUAAAGUUGGGGACCGCAAGGCCUGACGCUUCAUGAUAAGCCCGCGGCCUAUCAGCUAGUUGGUGAGGUAACGGCUCACCAAGGCUAAGACGGGUAGCUGGUCUGAGAGGACGACCAGCCACACUGGAACUGAGACACGGUCCAGACACCUACGGGUGGCAGCAGUCGAGAAUUUUUCACAAUGGGCGAAAGCCUGAUGGAGCGACGCCGCGUGGGGGAUGAAUGGCUUCGGCCCGUAAACCCCUGUCAUUUGCGAACAAAUUUCACGUUUGAACAGAACGUGAAUUGAUUGUAGCGGAAGAGGAAGGGACGGCUAACUCUGUGCCAGCAGCCGCGGUAAUACAGAGGUCCCGAGCGUUGUUCGGAUUCACUGGGCGUAAAGGGUGCGUAGGUGGUGAGGUAAGUCGGAUGUGAAAUCUCCAGGCUCAACCUGGAAACUGCAUUGGAAACUACCUUGCUUGAGGGUUUGAGGGGGGACUGGAAUUCUCGGUGUAGCAGUGAAAUGCGUAGAUAUCGAGAGGAACACCAGUGGCGAAGGCGAGUCCCUGGAAAACAUCUGACACUGAGGCACGAAAGCUAGGGGAGCAAACAGGAUUAGAUACCCUGGUAGUCCUAGCCCUAAACGGUGCUUGCUUGCUGUAAGUGGAAUCGACCCCACUUGUGGCGGAGCUAACGCGUUAAGCAAGCCGCCUGGGAAGUACGGUCGCAAGAUUAAAACUCAAAUGAAUUGACGG